UGUUUGUGAUGAUAAUCCAAAAGGCUUGUUUCUCAGAGACAUUCGCAGUGGCCGCCUAAGAACUUUCGCCUUCGCCAGGCUUGAGAGUUGAUGCUGUUUUAUUCCUUCCUUGGAUGUCUGAAACU
Molecule: small nucleolar RNA, 125 nt
Organism: Cynara cardunculus var. scolymus (artichoke)
Lineage: Eukaryota; Viridiplantae; Streptophyta; Magnoliopsida; Asterales; Asteraceae
Product: small nucleolar RNA SNORD14
Exons: 1
Source: RefSeq, a predicted model, not a curated record